This 339-nucleotide ribosomal RNA is filed under the name uncultured eukaryote. RNAcentral describes it as "partial 18S ribosomal RNA". It matches the Rfam family "Eukaryotic small subunit ribosomal RNA", at positions 1470 to 1796 of the family's 1831-position model. The record is from RNAcentral.
CCCUUAGAUGUCCGGGGCCGCACGCGCGCUACACUGAAGGAAUCAGCGUGGCUUUCUCCCUGACCCGAAAGGGUUGGGAAACCCGUUGAAUCUCCUUCGUGAUAGGGAUUGGGGCUUGAAAUUGUUCCCCAUGAACGAGGAAUUCCCAGUAAGCGCGAGUCAUAAGCUCGCGUUGAUUACGUCCCUGCCCUUUGUACACACCGCCCGUCGCUGCCAUCGGUGGACGGCCGAGCCAGGGCUUUGGACUGCGAGCGCCUGCCCUUCGUCUUCGGACGGGGAGUCGUUGCCCGCGGAAAAUCGUCCGAACUCGGUCGCCCCGAGAUAGCAAAAGUCGUAACA